Molecule: long non-coding RNA, 730 nt
Filed under: Rattus norvegicus (Norway rat)
Lineage: Eukaryota; Metazoa; Chordata; Mammalia; Rodentia; Muridae
Description: long non-coding RNA NONRATT005746
Source: RNAcentral
CGCUGCUUGGGACAUGUGCCAAGAGCAAGAAGGGAGCACUGCCCAGGACCCUGGCAGUGCAGGGAAGCUCCGAGGGAGAACAAGUAACUCUUCUUAAGGGAAUCCUGCCAUCCUGGCUGGAGUCCUCAGCACCAGUAGUGGGCUGCCAUUUAAUGGCCCUUUUGGGUCAGUGGCUCUCAGAUGCUUUUAUGGGGGAAACAAGUCGACUUAAGUGCCUACCUUUGUGGGUCCUACUUCCAUGUGACCUUGGGGAGACUGAUUUUGCCCAUGUGACUUGGGAAAUAGGGUUCCAGGCUUGGGGGUGGUGGUGUAAACAAAGCCUUGUAGGGAUCAGACAGGACUGAAAAGUUGGGUAUGAAGUUAACAUUUCCAAAAUAAAAUCGCAGUGCUCUGACGGUCCAUAGCAGAAUCAAUCCUAUUUAAAAGGUUAACUGACCUGAUGGUGGUUGAGGGAGGUAUCGGCUAUUUAAGACAAGUAAGUGUGAAAAGACACUGGGUGGAGAGACUGCAGUAAGUACUAAGUGUAGUGCUGUGUGAGGUGCCUUUGGAAGUCUAGAGAUGCUAGGUCCUGGGGUCAUGUUUACAGCACAGGUGAAUGUGUAGAAUUAGGAGAAUCAUGCUAUGUAGCCAGGUUGGCCCAGAACUUGUUAUUUAUUUUCCAGCCUUAGCCUUAAGAGCCCUGGGAUUACAGAUGUGUGGAACCAUGUUUGGUUCAGAACAGUUUGUCAAA